RNAcentral lists this ribosomal RNA (446 nucleotides) under uncultured bacterium. RNAcentral's name for it is "bacterial SSU rRNA". It matches the Rfam family "Bacterial small subunit ribosomal RNA", at positions 329 to 792 of the family's 1533-position model. The record is from RNAcentral.
CUCCAGACUCCUACGGGAGGCAGCAGUGGGGAAUAUUGCACAAUGGGGGAAACCCUGAUGCAGCGACGCCGCGUGAGCGAUGAAGUAUUUCGGUAUGUAAAGCUCUAUCAGCAGGGAAGAAGAUGACGGUACCUGACUAAGAAGCCCCGGCUAACUACGUGCCAGCAGCCGCGGUAAUACGUAGGGGGCAAGCGUUAUCCGGAUUUACUGGGUGUAAAGGGAGCGUAGACGGCGAUGCAAGCCAGAUGUGAAAGCCCGGGGCUCAACCCCGGGACUGCAUUUGGAACUGUGUGGCUGGAGUGUCGGAGAGGCAGGCGGAAUUCCUAGUGUAGCGGUGAAAUGCGUAGAUAUUAGGAGGAACACCAGUGGCGAAGGCGGCCUGCUGGACGAUGACUGACGUUGAGGCUCGAAAGCGUGGGGAGCAAACAGGAUUAGAUACCCCAGUA